RNAcentral lists this unclassified non-coding RNA (311 nucleotides) under uncultured fungus. RNAcentral describes it as "partial contains 5.8S rRNA and ITS2". The record is from RNAcentral. Lineage: Eukaryota; Fungi.
AACGCAAAUUGCGCUCGAGGCUUCGGCCAAGAGCAUGUCUGCCUCAGCGUCGGGUAAAAACUCGCUCACAGUUACACUGUGUGCGGAACUGACUGUCUCAUAACAAUCACUUGUGAUGGGUCAGUUGAAGUGUGCAGCUGUUGGUACAUGGACCCGCUAAUGGGCCUCUACUGGGUAAGCAAUCUUUGCUACAUGCCUUAGUAGGUGGCUUAGGAUCCUUGUGUGCUGACACAAAGCAGGACUAUGCAUCCGUGCAUAUCAGAUCUCUUUGCCACGACCUGAGCUCAGGCAAGAUUAGCCGCUGAACUUAA